CAGCACCUCAAGUGGUCAGGAUGAUUAUUGGGCCUAAAGCAUCCGUAGCCGGCUCUGUAAGUUUUCGGUUAAAUCUGUACGCUCAACGUACAGGCUGCCGGGAAUACUGCAGCGCUAGGGAGUGGGAGAGGUAGACGGUACUCGGUAGGAAGGGGUGAAAUCCUUUGAUCUAUUGAUGACCACCUGUGGCGAAGGCGGUCUACCAGAACACGUCCGACGGUGAGGGAUGAAAGCUGGGGGAGCAAACCGGAUUAGAUACCCGAGUAGUCC
RNAcentral lists this ribosomal RNA (270 nucleotides) under uncultured archaeon. Its description in RNAcentral is "partial 16S ribosomal RNA". It matches the Rfam family "Archaeal small subunit ribosomal RNA", at positions 477 to 747 of the family's 1478-position model. The record is from RNAcentral.